GGGGUUGUGCCUCAGCGGUAGAGUGCUCACCUCACAUGUGCGUGGCCCUGGGUUCUAUCCUCAGCACCACA
RNAcentral lists this transfer RNA (71 nucleotides) under Marmota monax (woodchuck). Its description in RNAcentral is "tRNA.Val". The record is from RNAcentral. Lineage: Eukaryota; Metazoa; Chordata; Mammalia; Rodentia; Sciuridae.